GAUGAACGCUGGCGGCGUGCCUAAUACAUGCAAGUCGAGCGAACGGACGAGAAGCUUGCUUUUCUGAUGUUAGCGGCGGACGGGUGAGUAACACGUGGAUAACCUACCUAUAAGACUGGGAUAACUUCGGGAAACCGGAGCUAAUACCGGAUAAUAUUUUGAACCGCAUGGUUCAAAAGUGAAAGACGGUCUUGCUGUCACUUAUAGAUGGAUCCGCGCUGCAUUAGCUAGUUGGUAAGGUAACGGCUUACCAAGGCAACGAUGCAUAGCCGACCUGAGAGGGGGAUCGGCCACACUGGAACUGGGACACGGCCCAGACUCCUACGGGAGGCAGAAGUAGGGAAUCUUCCGCAAUGGGCGAAAGCCUGACGGAGCAACGCCGCGGGAGUGAUGAAGGUCUUCGGAUCGUAAAACUCUGUUAUUAGGGAAGAACAUAUGUGUAAGUAACUGUGCACAUCUUGACGGUACCUAAUCAGAAAGCCACGGCUAACUACGUG
This 497-nucleotide ribosomal RNA is filed under the name uncultured bacterium. Its description in RNAcentral is "partial 16S ribosomal RNA". It matches the Rfam family "Bacterial small subunit ribosomal RNA", at positions 28 to 507 of the family's 1533-position model. The record is from RNAcentral.